This is a long non-coding RNA of Cyprinus carpio (common carp), 1324 nucleotides long. Lineage: Eukaryota; Metazoa; Chordata; Actinopteri; Cypriniformes; Cyprinidae. The record is from Ensembl.
UUCAAUCUGUAGCAAAAUUUGCACAUGGUUCAUUCUCCACCAUAUAUAAUACAUAUACAGUACAUGUGUUCAUUGUAUGUUACUAAAUAAAUACAUAAAUGUUCUUUUUAUCAAAAAAUCCUGAAAAAAAAAAUCCACAAAAAGCAGCACAACUGUUUUAUUAUAAAUAACUUUGACAAUUAUUUUAUUUUUACAUUAAUAAUAAAUAGAAAUGUUUCUUGAUCAGCAAAUCAGCAUACUAGAAAAUGCACCAAAAGAGCAAAAGAGUCACUGAUGGAUUUAUCACAAUGUUGAUUCCUCAAGGAAGCUUUAACAUUUUAAACAUAAUAAUAAAUCACAGAAAGAGAUAAUUACAUUUUUUUUUUAGACAGAAACAGACAAACAAGAGAAAGGGGGAUGGGAGGACUGGGAAACAGAUGAAUAAAAGAUGUCUGAAUCAUUCGGCCACAGACAUAAACAGAGAACAGUUGCUUGUAGUUGUCCUCUCAGAGCCCCAGUUCGGUUAAACAAACCCGAGUCUACCUGAACAGCCAUGCUUUCUCUCCCAAUGCUAACUCAGUGGUGAGGUCCAUCGUGAUCUGUAGCUAGACGUCACUGAACAAUUACAGCUCCGCAGAGAUCAAAUGAGGCAAUGGCAGAUUCACAGACCCAUUCCAAGUAUUUACAAAUAUGAGUAAGGCUUCAGUCAGCUCUGCUGAUUCACUGUCUGAGAACAUAGAGUUAUCUGGUGACUUCUAACCAAGCAAGAGACUUUUUCCACCCAUUUGGUACUUUGUAUGUCAGUAUGUCAGGGGUGGUUGAAUAAAAACUGGGAAAAAACUGCAGAACAUCCCGUAAGAGAUGACUGGAACAAAAACUAAUAGUUGGCCAGCUUUCCAAAUAGAGAUCCAUUAUGGAUUACACUCGUAUAAACAUCUGUCUGGAAACGGAAAGAUUCUUUUUGGGAUAAACAACCCAGCUAGAUGAAGAGGAAGUACUGUGCAGCUGCUCCAAUGAGAUGAGAGGUGCAGAUGAGAUAUGAGGCGUUAAACGCAGCAGAUAUGUUGAAUGGGUGAGGUAUUUCUGUGUGAGAAACAGCAGCAGGCAUAACUUCAUUCUCAGAGGGAUGUACUGGGAUGCAGAGGAGAUGAAAGUAUCCUGCUGGCCGAGUUACUGCUUCUGGCCUCCAAAAAAUUCUUAUUUUUAACCGCUCCUAUGUACGUUCUUAAUACAUGUCCCUGGUGUUAUGGUGCAUGAGUUAUCAGUUAUGCUUUAAAAAAAAAAAUGUUUUCAUAGUUUAAAUGUAAUAACUUCCUUUGCCUCUGAAACAACUUCAUUUCAUUUU